This 383-nucleotide long non-coding RNA is filed under the name Astyanax mexicanus (Mexican tetra). Its description in RNAcentral is "lncRNA (ENSAMXG00005009791.1)". Lineage: Eukaryota; Metazoa; Chordata; Actinopteri; Characiformes; Acestrorhamphidae. The record is from RNAcentral.
GAUAUAUAAAUGCAGUUUAAAUACAGUAUGUUUUGCUGUUCUUCUCAUUGGUCCUGUAGGUGCCUGCAGGCUGCUGGUUACUCUGCUGUAUGGACUGGAGUCUUACCUGGAUUCUACAGAGGACAGCAGCUUCCUACAGGACAUGCUGAUGGGCAACACCCUGCACGUCCUCAUCAAGCUCCAUGAAAGGCUGCAGAGGUUCGAGGCCCGGCGUCCGUCUCCGGUGCAGGACGAUGCUGGGGGUCUGGCGCGGGAGCUAGCUGAAGAGCUGCGAGCUUUACAGGCUAAACCAGAGGUGGUGGAGUUGCUGAGAUUGCUGUCUAAACCCCAUGUUCAGGUAAGAAGAGUGUGGUUUAUAUUGUGUUGGAUUCUUUGGCUUAAGG